RNAcentral lists this ribosomal RNA (253 nucleotides) under uncultured bacterium. RNAcentral's name for it is "partial 16S ribosomal RNA". It matches the Rfam family "Bacterial small subunit ribosomal RNA", at positions 524 to 776 of the family's 1533-position model. The record is from RNAcentral.
UACGGGGGGGGUAAGCGUUGUUCGGAAUUACUGGGCGUAAAGGGCUCGUAGGCGGCCAACUAAGUCAGACGUGAAAUCCCCGGGCUCAACCCGGGAACUGCGUCCGAUACUGGAAGGCUUGAAUCCGGGAGAGGGAUGCGGAAUUCCAGGUGUAGCGGUGAAAUGCGUAGAUAUCUGGAGGAACACCGGUGGCGAAGGCGGCAUCCUGGACCGGCAUUGACGCUGAGGCGCGAAAGCCAGGGGAGCAAACGGG